Molecule: transfer RNA, 65 nt
Filed under: Dipodomys ordii (Ord's kangaroo rat)
Lineage: Eukaryota; Metazoa; Chordata; Mammalia; Rodentia; Heteromyidae
Rfam family: tRNA
About the family: Transfer RNA (tRNA) molecules are approximately 80 nucleotides in length. Their secondary structure includes four short double-helical elements and three loops (D, anti-codon, and T loops).
Source: Rfam by way of RNAcentral
GGUAGCUCAGUGGUAGAGUGCUUGCCUUGCAUGCAUGGGACCCUGGGUUUGAUUCCUCAGUACCA